GAGACACUAGUAAAAACUAUUACGCAGCCUCGUCAAGGCUGAGUCGCGAGUUGGACUCUCGCGUGUUUCA
This 70-nucleotide transfer RNA is filed under the name Chlorurus sordidus (daisy parrotfish). Its description in RNAcentral is "tRNA-Asp". Lineage: Eukaryota; Metazoa; Chordata; Actinopteri; Labriformes; Labridae. The record is from RNAcentral. RNAcentral also lists the same sequence under 2 other names.